CAGUAGCCGCGGUAAUACGAAGGGGGCUAGCGUUGCUCGGAAUCACUGAGCGUAAAGCGCGCGUAGGCGGAUCGUUAAGUCAGAGGUGAAAGCCUGGAGCUCAACUCCAGAACUGCCUUUGAUACUGGCGAUCUCGAGUCCGGAAGAGGUAAGUGGAACUGCGAGUGUAGAGGUGAAAUUCGUAGAUAUUCGCAAGAACACCAGUGGCGAAGGCGGCUUACUGGUCCGGUACUGACGCUGAGGUGCGAAAGCGUGGGGAGCAAACAGGAUUAGAUACCCGCGUAGUCCCUGUCUCUUAUAC
Molecule: ribosomal RNA, 301 nt
Filed under: uncultured bacterium
Lineage: Bacteria
Description: partial 16S ribosomal RNA
Rfam family: Bacterial small subunit ribosomal RNA
Source: RNAcentral